CUAGUACUUCCUCCGUCUGAAAAUAUUUGUCUUAGAAAUGAAUAAAAUGGAUGUAUCUAUAAUUAAAAUAAGUCUAGAUACAAUCAUUUAUAGGACAAGUAUUUUCGGAUGGAGAGAGUACUAG
Molecule: non-coding RNA, 124 nt
Organism: Triticum urartu
Lineage: Eukaryota; Viridiplantae; Streptophyta; Magnoliopsida; Poales; Poaceae
Source: Rfam